CGGGAAACCGGAGCUAAUACCGGAUAAUAUAUUGAACCGCAUGGUUCAAUAGUGAAAGACGGUUUUGCUGUCACUUAUAGAUGGAUCCGCGCCGCAUUAGCUAGUUGGUAAGGUAACGGCUUACCAAGGCAACGAUGCGUAGCCGACCUGAGAGGGUGAUCGGCCACACUGGAACUGAGACACGGUCCAGACUCCUACGGGAGGCAGCAGGG
Molecule: ribosomal RNA, 212 nt
Filed under: uncultured Staphylococcus sp.
Lineage: Bacteria; Bacillati; Bacillota; Bacilli; Caryophanales; Staphylococcaceae
Description: partial 16S ribosomal RNA
Rfam family: Bacterial small subunit ribosomal RNA
Source: RNAcentral